RNAcentral lists this transfer RNA (73 nucleotides) under Treponema sp. RNAcentral describes it as "tRNA-Thr". It matches the Rfam family "tRNA". From Rfam's summary of the family: Transfer RNA (tRNA) molecules are approximately 80 nucleotides in length. Their secondary structure includes four short double-helical elements and three loops (D, anti-codon, and T loops). Further hydrogen bonds mediate the characteristic L-shaped molecular structure. tRNAs have two regions of fundamental functional importance: the anti-codon, which is responsible for specific mRNA codon recognition, and the 3' end, to which the tRNAs corresponding amino acid is attached (by aminoacyl-tRNA synthetases). tRNAs cope with the degeneracy of the genetic code in two manners: having more than one tRNA (with a specific anti-codon) for a particular amino acid; and 'wobble' base-pairing, i.e. permitting non-standard base-pairing at the 3rd anti-codon position. The record is from RNAcentral. Lineage: Bacteria; Pseudomonadati; Spirochaetota; Spirochaetia; Treponematales; Treponemataceae.
GCCGUCUUAGCUCAGUCGGUAGAGCACCUGACUUGUAAUCACGAGGUCCCCGGUUCGACCCCGGGAGACGGCU